UACAUAGGGGUCAAGCGUUGUCCGGAUUUACUGGGCGUAAAGGGCUCGUAGGCGGUCCACUAAGUCGGAAUUUAAAGGCAGGAGCUCAACUUCUGUUCGAUUUCGAAACUGGUGAACUAGAGAUUUAGAGAGGAAGAUGGAAUUAACAGUGUAGCGGUGAAAUGCGUAGAUAUUGUUAAGAACACCCGUGGCGAAGGCGGUCUUCUGGCUAAAAUCUGACGCUGAGGAGCGAAAGCGUGGGGAGCAAACAGGAUUAGAUACCCUGGUAGUCCACGCUGUAAACGAUGUACAUUAGGUAUGGGAGGUAUCGACCCCUUCUGUGCCGCAGCUAACGCGUUAAAUGUACCGCCUGGGGAGUACGGUCGCAAGAUUAAA
This 375-nucleotide ribosomal RNA is filed under the name uncultured bacterium. RNAcentral's name for it is "bacterial SSU rRNA". It matches the Rfam family "Bacterial small subunit ribosomal RNA", at positions 524 to 898 of the family's 1533-position model. The record is from RNAcentral.